Molecule: non-coding RNA, 29 nt
Filed under: Rattus norvegicus (Norway rat)
Lineage: Eukaryota; Metazoa; Chordata; Mammalia; Rodentia; Muridae
Source: RNAcentral
CNGAAUGGGCCUUGUGACUUCAGUGCUGA